This 297-nucleotide ribosomal RNA is filed under the name uncultured Pseudomonadota bacterium. RNAcentral's name for it is "uncultured proteobacterium partial 16S ribosomal RNA". It matches the Rfam family "Bacterial small subunit ribosomal RNA", at positions 29 to 351 of the family's 1533-position model. Lineage: Bacteria; Pseudomonadati; Pseudomonadota. The record is from RNAcentral.
AACGAACGCUGGCGGCAUGCCUAACACAUGCAAGUCGGACGCGUGGUUUCGGCCACGAGUGGCGGACGGGUGAGUAACGCGUGGGAACCUGCCCAUCGGUACGGAACAACCGCGGGAAACUGCGGCUGAUACCGUAUAUACCCUGCGGGGGAAAGAUUUAUCGCCGAUGGAGGGGCCCGCGUCGGAUUAGGUAGUUGGUGGGGUAACGGCCUACCAAGCCUGCGAUCCGUAGCUGGUCUGAGAGGAUGAUCAGCCACACUGGGACUGAGACACGGCCCAGACUCCUACGGGAGGCAG